This 305-nucleotide ribosomal RNA is filed under the name uncultured bacterium. RNAcentral describes it as "bacterial SSU rRNA". It matches the Rfam family "Bacterial small subunit ribosomal RNA", at positions 337 to 635 of the family's 1533-position model. The record is from RNAcentral.
GCCUACGGGGGGCAGCAGUAGGGAAUUUUCGUCAAUGGGCGCAAGCCUGAACGAGCAAUGCCGCGUGAACGAGGAAGGUCUUCGGAUCGUAAAGUUCUGUUGAAGGGGAAAAAGAGCGGAGAGAGGAAAUGGUCUCCGAUUGAUAUUACCCUUCGAGGAAGUCACGGCUAACUACGUGCCAGCAGCCGCGGUAAUACGUAGGUGGCGAGCGUUAUCCGGAAUGAUUAGGCGUAAAGGGUGCGUAGGCGGCCUGCUAAGUCUGGAGUGAAAGGUACCGGCUCAACCGGUACAGGCUCUGGAAACUG